RNAcentral lists this ribosomal RNA (169 nucleotides) under uncultured eukaryote. RNAcentral's name for it is "partial small subunit ribosomal RNA". It matches the Rfam family "Eukaryotic small subunit ribosomal RNA", at positions 1662 to 1828 of the family's 1831-position model. The record is from RNAcentral.
GUACACACCGCCCGUCGCUCCUACCGAUUGAAUGAUCCGGUGAAAUCUUCGGACCGUCAACAAAGCUGGGGUUUCUCACUGCGUGCGAUGGGAAGUUGAUUAAACCUUAUCAUUUAGAGGAAGGAGAAGUCGUAACAAGGUUUCCGUAGGUGAACCUGCAGAAGGAUCA